This 2084-nucleotide long non-coding RNA is filed under the name Lytechinus variegatus (green sea urchin). Its description in RNAcentral is "uncharacterized LOC121428444". Lineage: Eukaryota; Metazoa; Echinodermata; Echinoidea; Temnopleuroida; Toxopneustidae. The record is from RNAcentral.
UAUGCAUUGCCACAUUCUCGUGUGUUAUUCGAAGUGAGAAGCAAGUGGAAAACCCGGUCUGCUCCGUGCGUGCAAUGUACGUACGUGGAAACAAUAAUAUCUCAGUCACUCAGCUUUUAGAAUACUGGAUAUUUUGCUUUUGUGUUAAUCUUCAGUUAAAAGUGAUUGCUUCAUAACCGUCUGGUAUCGUAAUUACAAGACUGUGAGCAAUAUUUCUGGAAAUCGGGGAUCUGCAGGUGUACUGUGAACGAUUGAGUGGAGGGCCUACGUUCUGUACCAGCACCUCGACUCAUCUCGACCCCAGGAGCUCUGGCUGAGGUGAACGGAAUAUCUCCGUAGUAAGUCCCGCUAGAUCGUGAGGAUAUCCACACUUCGCUUCAUUGAUUAAACUUCUAUUAAACCUUCCCGUCCUUUCAGCUGUGGGUUUAUCGUCCCUUUACUGAUGUUUCGGAGAGGCAUACUGUAGAUUCAAAGGUUUCUCGUUCAUGAGAGGGUUUCAAUGUUUCAUUUCUACGGCUUCUGAUGCUGAUAUUCUCCCAUUUGCAUUUUGGAAAAGAAGCCCCUCUGCCCGUCAAUCAUCGGAUAAGAUCCUUCCCUUCACCAAUAUUAGGGAGGGAGUCUCAGUGUGAGCCAUCAUUCUUGAAGUCGCCUUCGGUCCAUUUACGCUCUUCUUCUGCAUCUCUCUACGCAAUAUUUGACUUUUUUUUACCUUAUUCACGAAAUCAUCUCCACAUUGGAUCAAAAUUAUAAACUAAUUUUUCAUUUUCAUGACGUGCUUACCCUGCCGUUGGCUGCGUUUGAGGCAAGUCUUAUCAGAAAUGAUUGAAUGAAACGCUGAUUAAUCCCAUCAUAGUGUCUUCUAUUCAUGUAACGCAGAGUUAUUUCAAGUCAAGGAAUCACAGAGGCGUAGAGCCAGCUUGAAUUCAUCGGCAGUGUUUCGCUAAUGAACCCCCUGUGUCGUCUAAUAUCAGCAAAUGAAACUAACUUAAUGAGUUUUUUGUUUACAUUGUGUUUCCCGCUUCAUUCAGUUAUUCAAUCUAAUUCGACGCAGGUUAAUUACCACCACUGAUUUCCCCCUUCGGUUUUUUUUUAUUCCAUGGCCCCUUUAACCCUCCUUUGACUUUAAUCAACUCAACUCAAUUGCGGUGUAUGUCAUUAGCGCGAGUUCGGAAAAUUGGUAAACACUCUGCUUCAAUUUGUGGUGGAGCGCAAAGAGAGGGGUCUAUUUUCUCUGCCUAUUGUAAGGGCCGACAAAGGUUUGGUUACGGAGCCCGGGUUUAAUUCAUUACGGGUCCAUUCAAUCCAGCGAAGAGUAGAUAAAGUAUCGGUGCAUUUCAUCGGUCUGCCUACCCCCGGAUUCUUCAUUAGAUGUUAGAAGCUGGGAUCAUCUCCGACAUAAAAAUACAUUCAUCAGAAGCAUCUCCAGCUCCGUCGUCUUCUUCGUCAUCUUCGAAUUUUGCCAGACUGAGGAGCUACCACAGUGACUGCCUGCCCUGCCACUGUGUAGUAUUUCGUAUAGCAUCUUUCAUACCGAGGGAACAGUGUUACAUUUUCCACUCUUCAUAAAUCUCAUUUUAUUCUUUUUUUUCCAAAGGAGCUGAGAUAUUAUAUUUCAUGUGAGUUCUAUAUUUACUCUCCUCUUGAUGCCAAUUUUUUUAUUAUUGUGAUUCAUAAUCCAGCACCUUGCCGGGAAUUUCAUUUCAAGAUCUCAAGAUUUCUUCUUGUUUCGGAGUGGUUCGGAUGAAAGGCAACAUAAUUGCGAAAUAACUGUCAACCCUCAGCACCGAGGAAGUUGAUCGAACAAACGAGUUGCGGACGACGUGAAUAGAUUAUUAUAUCGAGUUUUAAUAAUAGGCAUUGUGCACCUGUGCAUACAUCGAACCAACCCUCGCUUAUAACCCUUCGAUGAGCCCGCCAUCUACAAACAUGUCUCACACACAGGAUAGGAGCCAAAUCGUAGACAAAGCUAACAAUAUGGACAGCACCAAAGAAAACAGACCUGCACCAACCACGAACAGCAACAACAACAACAGCAACAACAACAACAACAACAAUGCGGUACGAUGUUGCGCGGGGUGUGGCGG